Non-coding RNA from Schistosoma mattheei, 45 nucleotides. The record is from Rfam. NCBI's taxonomy places the organism in Eukaryota, Metazoa, Platyhelminthes, Trematoda, Strigeidida, Schistosomatidae.
AUUCAAGCGACGAGUCCUAAAUAGGAUGAAACGCGCGUUCUGGAU